Molecule: long non-coding RNA, 461 nt
Organism: Leptinotarsa decemlineata (Colorado potato beetle)
Lineage: Eukaryota; Metazoa; Arthropoda; Insecta; Coleoptera; Chrysomelidae
Source: RefSeq, a predicted model, not a curated record
AGAGUGCCAUUAGCGAUGUGAUCAGUAUUCAAAAAAAAACUGUUGAAAACACAAACGAAGAAGAGAACUGAAGAUGUUGAAAUUGAUAGUAUUCAUUCUUCUCCUCAGUGGCUCCUUAGCCUACGUUUACAUUCGUCCUGAUGUGAAUAAUUCAGGUGAAUGUGGAGACAACGCAUAUCGAGAGCCUUGUGCCUCGGCCUGUAUAGAGACACCAACGUGCCAAAAUAGAUUCCCAGAACCAUAUUCAGAAAGGUGUGUGGAAUAUUGUGUUCCCAAAUGUCUAUGCACUAGAGGAUUCAUCAGAGAUGAUGUAACAAAACGAUGUGUUCCAGUUUCAGAAUGUUCGAAUACCGAAAGUACCGAAAGUGCUGAAAGUUCCUGGUCAUUCUUUCCAAUUUUAGUUGCGAUCAACUUUCCUCAAAAAUAAAAUUCACGUUGAAUAAAACAAUCAUUUUAUUUUA